This 350-nucleotide unclassified non-coding RNA is filed under the name soil metagenome. RNAcentral's name for it is "partial contains 5.8S ribosomal RNA, internal transcribed spacer 2, and large subunit ribosomal RNA". The stretch from base 1 to 120 matches the Rfam family "5.8S ribosomal RNA", at positions 35 to 154 of the family's 154-position model. The record is from RNAcentral.
GAUGAAGAACGCAGCGAAACGCGAUAUGUAAUGUGAAUUGCAGAAUUCAGUGAAUCAUCGAAUCUUUGAACGCACAUGGCGCCUUCCAGUAUCCUGGGAGGCAUGCCUGUCCGAGCGUCGUUUCAACCCUCGAGCCCUCGUGGCCCGGCGUUGGGGAUCUGCCACGGCAGGCCCCGAAAUACAGUGGCGGACCCGUUAGGCCCUUCCUUUGCGUAGUAGCAUCAGCCUCGCAUCGGGAGCCGGCGGGCUCUCCUGCCUCUAAACCCCCCAACAAGCCCGCUCCGGCGGCACCAAGGUUGACCUCGGAUCAGGUAGGAAUACCCGCUGAACUUAAGCAUAUCAACGGAGGA